GUCUAUUCAAAAACAGAGUAACUAUCAUGAAUAGAAGGAAAUUUCAUUGGUCUGCUCAUCUUCAUGUCAAAGGAGGUAGAUGACUUGUUAAUGCAUCAAAGAUUCUGCAAAAUUUAAUAUUAGUAGAGUUGAAGUUGGUGCUAAGGACAGUCAACGAGGACAAUGCUUACCAAUUCAGGAAAAGAUGUUGCUUGAAAUUGAAGGCUGACAUUUAUUGGUGCCCUUUCUACCUCACUAUUCAACAGAAUGGGUGGAUUAUUAUCCUCAAGAAUGCUCAAGGACCCAAAUGCCAUUCUGAUGGUGCAAAUGCAUACCCUUGAAAGG
Molecule: long non-coding RNA, 324 nt
Organism: Dioscorea cayenensis subsp. rotundata (Guinea yam)
Lineage: Eukaryota; Viridiplantae; Streptophyta; Magnoliopsida; Dioscoreales; Dioscoreaceae
Exons: 3
Source: RefSeq, a predicted model, not a curated record